This 292-nucleotide ribosomal RNA is filed under the name uncultured bacterium. RNAcentral's name for it is "partial 16S ribosomal RNA". It matches the Rfam family "Bacterial small subunit ribosomal RNA", at positions 505 to 796 of the family's 1533-position model. The record is from RNAcentral.
GUGUCAGCAGCCGCGGUAAGACGAACCGUCCUAACGUUGUUCGGAAUCACUGGGCUUAAAGGGCGCGUAGGCGGCUCAUCAAGUCCGGGGUGAAAGCCUCCAGCUUAACUGGAGAAGUGCCUCGGAUACUGGUGGGCUUGAGGGAGGUAGGGGCAACUGGAACUUCCGGUGGAGCGGUGAAAUGCGUUGAUAUCGGAAGGAACGCCGGUGGCGAAAGCGAGUUGCUGGAUCUCUUCUGACGCUGAGGCGCGAAAGCUAGGGGAGCAAACGGGAUUAGAUACCCCCGUAGUCC